Molecule: long non-coding RNA, 739 nt
Filed under: Carassius auratus (goldfish)
Lineage: Eukaryota; Metazoa; Chordata; Actinopteri; Cypriniformes; Cyprinidae
Description: lncRNA (ENSCARG00000049026.1)
Source: RNAcentral
GAAAUACUUUGUUACAGGACACCCAUCAGAGGUGACAUGACGUGCAUAGAUUCUUGUAAUAAGGAACUGAAAGUGCUAUUAUAUACAUUUCACAAAAGUAGGUCCUUCCACUAGUUUUUGUCUCAAGCGACUAUUAAUAAGGGAGGUGUUUUGGAUCCUCAUUAGAAAGCAAGUAAUUGCAAGAGUGUUGUCAUGGUGCUCUUAUCAGAAAAGUGGUAGCUCUGAAGAAAUCAUGAAAAUGGACAUGGAAUUUGAAAAGAAGACGACUUUACACAAAGAUCGUUGUAGCAGGAAAACUGGCAUCCUCCUAAUUCUAGGAGUUUGCAUGAUUGUCUUCAUGACCAUGACUUUUGUCAUCUGUGAGUGGGAUUAAACAACAUGCAAUCUUUAUGUGUCAUGCUAUAAAUAUGUAAGAAAGUGAGCUGUAAUUCAAAAAAGGAAAUUGGAAACUGGAACUGAAAAAAAGUAUUUGCAGAUACCUUUUUGCAAUGGUAUUUUUUACAUUAUGCUGAUUUGAAAAAAAAAAUCUUUAUUUUCGCUCAUAGUUUUGCAUCAACAAAAAAAAUUUCUCGAUGUUGGAGAGUUGGAUGAACAGUCAGAGUUCAAAUCUGACUUCAGUCAAUCCUGAUCUUCAGAAAACAGGUGAGAACUUAAACAAUACUUUUACACAAAUUAGCUGAAAACAUCCUCAUCCUCAGAGAUCAUCCGAGAUGCAGAUUUAGCGGACAUAGCAUUGCAU